GAUGAAGAACGUAGCGAAAUGCGAUACGUAAUGUGAAUUGCAGAAUUCAGUGAAUCAUCGAAUCUUUGAACGCAUAUUGCGCUCUCUGGUAUUCCGGAGAGCAUGCUUGUUUGAGUAUCAGUAAACACCUCAACUUCCAUAUCUUUUUUGAAAUGGGAGUUGGACUUGAGUGAUCCCAACGCUUUUCCUCACCGAAAAGUGGCGGGUUACUUGAAAUGCAGGUGCAGCUGGACUUUUCUCUGAGCUAUAAGCAUAUCUAUUUAGUCUGCCUAAAAAACAGAUUAUUACCUUUGCUGCAGCUAACAUAAAGGAGAUUAGUUCUUGUGCUGACUGAUGCAGGAUUCACAAAGACAGGCUUCGGCCGACUUUGUAAACUCGAUCUCAAAUCAAGUAAGACUACCCGCUGAACUUAAGCAUAUCAAAAGCGGAGGA
RNAcentral lists this unclassified non-coding RNA (432 nucleotides) under soil metagenome. Its description in RNAcentral is "partial contains 5.8S ribosomal RNA, internal transcribed spacer 2, and large subunit ribosomal RNA". The stretch from base 1 to 120 matches the Rfam family "5.8S ribosomal RNA", at positions 35 to 154 of the family's 154-position model. The record is from RNAcentral.